Molecule: ribosomal RNA, 253 nt
Filed under: uncultured bacterium
Lineage: Bacteria
Description: partial 16S ribosomal RNA
Rfam family: Bacterial small subunit ribosomal RNA
Source: RNAcentral
UACGAAGGGGGCAAGCGUUGUCCGGAAUCAUUGGGCGUAAAGCGCGUGUAGGCGGCUCGGUAAGUCCGCUCUGAAAGUCCAGGGCUCAACCCUGGGAUGCGGGUGGAUACUGCCGGGCUCGAGUCCGGAAGAGGCGAGUGGAAUUCCCGGUGUAGCGGUGAAAUGCGCAGAUAUCGGGAGGAACACCAAUGGCGAAGGCAGCUCGCUGGGACGUGACUGACGCUGAGACGCGAAAGCGUGGGGAGCAAACAGG